UCUCCGUUGGUGAACCAGCGGAGGGAUCAUUACAGAGUUGCAAAACUCCCACAAACCAUCGCGAAUCUUACCCGUACGGUUGCCUCGGCGCUGGCGGUCCGGAAGGCCUUCGGGCCCCCGGACCCUCGGGUCUCCCGCUCGCGGGAGGCUGCCCGCCGGAGUGCCGAAACCAAACUCUUGAUAUUUUAUGUCUCUCUGAGUAAACUUUUAAAUAAGUCAAAACUUUCAACAACGGAUCUCUUGGUUCUGGCAUCGAUGAAGAACGCAGC
Molecule: unclassified non-coding RNA, 269 nt
Filed under: uncultured fungus
Lineage: Eukaryota; Fungi
Description: sequence contains ITS1, 5.8S rRNA gene
Rfam family: 5.8S ribosomal RNA (bases 221-269)
Source: RNAcentral